AGAGCUCUAUUCUGGGAGAGGAGCUGCCACGGAAACACGAAAUGAGACGGUCUCAAUUCUGGGGUUUAGUGAUUGGAAGAAACUGGGAGAAAUUAUUCAAGCCAUGUCUUUGAAAUGGCUACAGUUCUCUCCUUGGUAAUGGCUCUUGGUCACAUUUGUUGUACACCUGCAAGAGGAAUUUUUGAUACAUAGAGAUCAAAAAGCGCUUGGCUUGCUCUGGACAGGGCAAGCUCACUAGUCAGAAAGUGGGGUGUAUCAAGGGAGACAGUGGGCAGUGAGGAAGAGGAAGCUGAGAUACAGGCUGGAGAGGGAGGGGAGAGUGGAACUGGUAUCUACUGGCCAUGAGGCACCCUGGAUGUCUUUAAAGGCAGGAGUGACAGGGCUGGACCGGUAUUUUAAUAAGCCCACUCCAAGAAGAACACUGUGUUUUAGAGAACAUUUAUUCCUCCUGCCCAUAGUUACAAAAUGGGUUGCUCUGAAAAGCCUUGCAUUUGCUGUUGGUGGGUUUUCACUGAGGACUGCGUGCUUUGCUGCAAUUUGGAUGAAACAACUAGCGACUGGAUGGAGGCAGAUGAAAAUAGCCUCUUGCACCGCCGUCCAUUUGGAUGCCUACUUAAGUGCGUGGAUGGAGAAAUAAUGCAGAGGGACCUGACAUGCUAAACCAUCCUCGGCUACCAGACCUGACGGAACCACCUUUGACCUCUAAGGUCUUUGGAGCCAAAAGGGAAGGCAGGUGUCUUCUUUCAGCCCCGCUGCUGGAUAAAUGCAUCCCAGACUCGCUUCCUCUCCGGGGUGAUCUCUGGCAACAGAUGUGCUCCGAGGGCUCCUGGCUCAGCCUGCCUUCCUGCUGUGAAUUCAUCCCACAUUUCCGUCCACACCUCAGCGAUGUCACAGGCUGUCCGUGGCUUGUUCCUUCCCCACCUCCCAGCACACAGAGGGUCUGUGCAGACUGAGGGCCCCAGAGAGGCCAGCAUGGUGGCACCUCACAAACAGAAGUUUUAAAAGUUUUCUAAUUAAAGCAUA
Molecule: non-coding RNA, 1023 nt
Organism: Sus scrofa (pig)
Lineage: Eukaryota; Metazoa; Chordata; Mammalia; Artiodactyla; Suidae
Source: RefSeq, a predicted model, not a curated record